AUUGAACGCUGGCGGCAGGCUUAACACAUGCAAGUCGAACGGUAACAUAAAGAAGCUUGCUUCUUUGAUGACGAGUGGCGGACGGGUGAGUAAUGCUUGGGAAUCUAGCUUAUGGAGGGGGAUAACUACGGGAAACUGUAGCUAAUACCGCGUAGUAUCGGAAGAUGAAAGUGUGGGACCUUCGGGCCACAUGCCAUAGGAUGAGCCCAAGUGGGAUUAGGUAGUUGGUGAGGUAAAGGCUCACCAAGCCGACGAUCUCUAGCUGGUCUGAGAGGAUGACCAGCCACACUGGGACUGAGACACGGCCCAGACUCCUACGGGAGGCAGCAGUGGGGAAUAUUGCGCAAUGGGGGCAACCCUGACGCAGCCAUGCCGCGUGAAUGAAGAAGGCCUUCGGGUUGUAAAGUUCUUUCGGUAGCGAGGAAGGCAUUUAGUUUAAUAGACUAGGUGAU
This 452-nucleotide ribosomal RNA is filed under the name uncultured bacterium. RNAcentral describes it as "bacterial SSU rRNA". It matches the Rfam family "Bacterial small subunit ribosomal RNA", at positions 30 to 476 of the family's 1533-position model. The record is from RNAcentral.